RNAcentral lists this long non-coding RNA (473 nucleotides) under Prunus dulcis (almond). Its description in RNAcentral is "sRNA ncRNA". The record is from RNAcentral. Lineage: Eukaryota; Viridiplantae; Streptophyta; Magnoliopsida; Rosales; Rosaceae.
CCUAGGUAUGGCAUCCCUUUAAAGUGUGGCAAUUGCGGUGGAGAAGGGCAUAAUCGAAUUAGUUGUAAGGUAUGUGUCAAUAUAGGCUUAUUGAUUUACAUUUAAACGUAUUUGAUUUGGUUUCUGACUUGAUGACUUUGCUUAUUAAGAACCUAGAAAUCCCAACAUAAAGCCUACUAGGUCGAGGAAAGUUGCCAAGGAAAAACUUGCAGUAAGUGCCAUGGUUUCAACUAUGUUUUCACCAAUCAAAAUUUCAUAUCAUGAAAAAUUCUAAUUAUUAUUUAUUUUAGGUUUGAAGGAGAGAUGGUGGAGACACAAGUAGCGGACAACAGAGUAUGCAAUUAAGGCAAAGGAAACAAGCAAGCGGUUCCCAAGUGCCUUCUCAAUCCCAGGCUUCUAAAGUAGCUGAUUCUUCUCAAUCCCAAACAUCUCAAGCAGCUGAUGCUUCUUAAUCCCAACCAUCUCAAGCAUCU